AUGUCUAAUCAUCAGAAACAUGGUGUCCGUUUGCUCCAAAGAACCUUGGAGCUGCAGAAGUUUCCUAUGGGAAGUGCACCAAUGUGUAUACCUGUCAUAGAUGACACAUAUGAAGACUUGUUGAGAUCCAGUAUUGGUCCUCUGAUUGUUCAUACACCUACUCAAGUUGCUUUUGUGCCACAUAAGGUAACAUCACCUUUCCCAGGAAAGCUGGUGAGGAAGGCAAAUGCAGUCAUGCCUGAAGAGAUUGCAUCAAGUGUCUAUUCUGAUGGUAGGCAUGCUACAAAGAAUGGGCACUUGAGGAUUUCUAGACCUUUGGGGCAAUAUGAUGAAUCUGAUUGUGUAGAUUUCCCUUUUGCCUCUAAGAAAAAAAUGCAUUUCCAGAGAAGUCUAGCUCCUUUUGGUAAUGAGGGUGAUGGGUGGAAGAAGAUUGGGUCUUGCCUUCCAUACAUUCCAAUUAUAAACCCACAUGCUAAGGUUGUUCGUCGAUGGAACUAG
This 498-nucleotide ribosomal RNA is filed under the name Triticum aestivum (bread wheat). Its description in RNAcentral is "partial small subunit ribosomal RNA". Lineage: Eukaryota; Viridiplantae; Streptophyta; Magnoliopsida; Poales; Poaceae. The record is from RNAcentral.